RNAcentral lists this ribosomal RNA (110 nucleotides) under Roseiterribacter gracilis. The record is from RNAcentral. Lineage: Bacteria; Pseudomonadati; Pseudomonadota; Alphaproteobacteria; Rhodospirillales; Roseiterribacteraceae.
UGGUGGCUCUAGCGAGCGAGAAACACCCGAUCCCAUCCCGAACUCGGCCGUGAAACCGUUCAGCGCCGAUGGUACUUCGUCUCAAGACGCGGGAGAGUAGGUCGCUGCCA